Nyctereutes procyonoides (raccoon dog) is the source of this 2314-nucleotide long non-coding RNA. RefSeq lists it as uncharacterized. Lineage: Eukaryota; Metazoa; Chordata; Mammalia; Carnivora; Canidae. The transcript has 3 exons. The record is from RefSeq and is a predicted model, not a curated record.
UCCCCUAACUUCUAAAAUUAAAUAUAACACAGGGGCACCUGGGUGGCUCAGUCAGUUAACAUCUGACUUCUGGUUUCAGCUCCGGUCGGGAUCUCAGGGUCAGGACAUGGAGCCCUGAGUGGGGCUCCGUGCUCAGCAAGGAGGCUGCCUCCCCUCUCCCUCUGCCCCCCACCCAGCUUGAGCAUGCUCUCUCUCCGUCUCUCUAACAUAAAGAAAUCUUUAAAUAUAAUGCAGACUGUGACAGUUUUCCAUAGAAAGGAACUAGAAGCAGUGGGUAAGAGUCACCAAAAACAUGCUAACGAUGGAGUCAAAUGCCUGGGAGCAAGUGACUGGAGCGGGGCUUGGGCCCUGGGUGCUAAGUUGGAGCAAAUGACCUGGGAAUUACCCUCUCGGGAUUCUGUGAUCCUCUGACGAUUGGAAACUGAGUCAUAACCGCUCAUCUAAAGCGACCAGGAAAAUGCCAGGCUCCUGAAAUCAACACAGUUCAAGUGGGCCCAGUACUAGGUGAGGUUUUUGGUUGAAAAAAAAAAAAAAAAGAAAGAAAGAAACCAAUUCUGGCUACUUAACUAGAGAAAAUCUACUUAAAAGGGCUUCAGGCAAUUCACAGUUGUCAGGAAGACAGGAAAUGUGGGAGAACAGCCAGGAGCCAAGGGAGGCUGACAGCACCACAGAGGACUCCAGCCCCAGCAGCAGCCCCAGCCAUGAGGCCUCAGCGGUACAGACACCAGGAUGGAGCCUAAACAGUCCCUGCUGGUUUGUGUCACUUGCUCCAGAUUUAGGGCCUGAGUUUAGGUCACAAGCCCACAGCCAUAGCUGACAUGGAUCAGAGAUCAUAUCUGGCCCUUAAAUCAUCCAAAGCAGAACUCCCACUUCCCACCGAAAUGCAUAAAAUGUCAGACUUACCCAAAUGUGGCUGAGUAGCCAAAAAAAUGAGAUAUCCCCCACAGGGUCAUUCCACUAUCUCUCUAGAUACCCAGAGUUAAAAAAAUUUAAAUCACUGAGGGGCCUGGCUGGCUCAGUCAAAAGAGCAUGCAACUCUUGAUCUGGGGGUUGUAAGUUCGAGCCCCACGCUGGGUAUAGACGUUACUAAAAAAAAUGAACUUAAAAAAAUUCUUGGGGCAUCUGAGUGGCUGGGAUCGAGGGGCUUUCUGCUCAGCCGGGUGCCUGCUUCUCCCUCUCUCUGCCCUCUCUUUCUCUCUCUCUCUCUCUCAGAUAAGUAAAAUCUUUUUUAAAAAACUAUUUUAGGUAUGUCUGGGUGGCUCAAUCAGUUAAGCAUCUAACUCCUGAUUUCAUCUCAAGUCAUGAUCUCAGUGGGGAAUCUGCUUGAGGUUUUUCUCUCUUCCUCUCCAUCUGCCCCUGCCCUCGAGCGUGUACACUCUUUCUCUCGAAUAAAUAAAUCAAUCUAUCCAUUUAUUUGAGAGAGAGAGAGAGAGCACAAGCAGGGGUAGCAACAGAGGGAAAAGGGAGAAGCAGACUCCCCACUGAGCAGGGAGCCUGGACCCCAGGAUCAUGACCUGAGCCGAAGGCAGACACUCAACCGACUGAGUCACCCAGCUGCCCCAGUAAAUAAACCUUAAAAAAAAAAAAAAUGUUAGUAAUUGAUUCCUCCUCCUCCCAUUCCAACUCGAGAUCUAAUCAGUCUUCAGGGAGUCUGAUUAGCUUGUUUCCUUCUUUUAAUAUUCAGCCCUUCUUUCCCUUCCUACUGCCACCAUCUUCAUUCAGAUCCCUGUCACCGGAUGCUGAAUCUGCAGAGGACAAGCAAAAAUUACAGUGAGCAGUAUGUUAUGGGGUUAAGGGAGAGACAUCCCUCCCAAAUGGGAUAAUCAGUGAAGACUUCAGAAAGGUAUGGCAAUUGAGGCAGGCUUUGACAGAGGGAUUGGACUUAACAUCCAAAGAUAAACAAGAGAGGAUCCAAGCCUUUGCAGCAAGACAGCAAAGGCAGAGGCAAGAGUGCGGGACUUGUCUGAGUUUUUGAGCAGCCUUUCGUUAAAGCAACUCGUUCCCAUGCCAUGAUUUAAGAAACGCUGGUUGGAAGAGUAGAGAACCUGAAAGAGAUCCAGCUGGAACGUGAGUUGGAAUCAGAUCAAUGUCAGCACUGGAACCUUUAUUCUACUAGUGAAUCAAAAGUUUUCUUAGCAGGGCAGCCUGGGUAGCUCAGCAGUUUAGCGCCGCCUUCAGCCCAGAGCAUGGUCCUGGAGACCCAGGAUCGAGUCCCGCAUCAGGCUCCCUGCAUGGAGCCUGCUUUCCCCUCUGCCUGUGUCUCUGCCUCUCUCUGUCUCUUAUGAAUAAAUAAAUAAAAUCUUUUAUUUUUUUA